Molecule: ribosomal RNA, 250 nt
Filed under: uncultured bacterium
Lineage: Bacteria
Description: partial 16S ribosomal RNA
Rfam family: Bacterial small subunit ribosomal RNA
Source: RNAcentral
UACGGAGGAUGCAAGCGUUAUCCGGAUUUAUUGGGUUUAAAGGGUGCGUAGGCGGAAUAGUAAGUCAGUGGUGAAACCCUGCAGCUUAACUGUAGACUUGCCAUUGAUACUGUUAUUCUUGAGUGUGGUCAAGGUAGGCGGAAUGUGUAAUGUAGCGGUGAAAUGCUUAGAUAUUACACAGAACACCGAUUGCGAAGGCAGCUUGCUGGACCAAUACUGACGCUGAGGCACGAAAGCGUGGGGAUCGAAC